ACUGCUCAGUAACACGUGGUCAAUCUACCGCGAAGUGGCGCAUACCCUCGGGAAACUGAGGUCAAUUCGCCAUAGGCUACGGCACCUGGAAGGAGCUGUAGCCGAAAGGGACCCAAAUCGUAGGGCUUCCGCUUCACGAUGAGACUGCGGCGGAUCAGGCAGAUGGCGGGGUAACGGCCCACCAUACCGAUAACCUGUAGGGGAUAUGAGAGUAUAGGCCCCGAGAAGGGCACUGAGACAAGGGCCCUAGUGCUACGGCAUGCAGCAGGCGCGCAAACUCCACACUGCGCGGAAGCGUGAUGGGGGGAAUCUGAGUGGUUCACUUCGGUGAACCUUUUGCCAAGUAUAGCAAGCUUGGCGAAUAAGUGCCGGGCAAGACCGGUGGCAGCCGCCACGGUAAUACCGGCGGCACAAGUGGUGUCCACGAUUAUUGGGCUUAAAGCGCUCGUAGCUGGCCGAAACCGUCUCAUGUGAAAUAUUGGCGCUCAAUGUCAAUGCGUGCAUGAGAUACCUUUCGGCUGGGGAGUGGGUGAGGUCAGGAGUACUUAUGGGGAAGGGGUAAAAUCCUAUAAUCCUAUAAGGACUAACGGUGGCGAAGGCGCCUGACUAGAACACAUCCGACAGUGAGGAGCGAAGGCUAGGAGAACGAAUCGGAUUAGAUACCCGAGUAGCCCUAGCAGUAAAUUAUGCAGACUCUGAUGUUGCAAACAUCUUGGAUGUUUGCAGUACCGUAGAGUAAUUGUUAAGUCUGCCGCCUGGGGAGUACGGCCGCAAGGUUGAAACUUAAAGGAAUUGGCGGGGGAGCAC
Molecule: ribosomal RNA, 807 nt
Filed under: uncultured archaeon
Lineage: Archaea
Description: bacterial SSU rRNA
Rfam family: Archaeal small subunit ribosomal RNA
Source: RNAcentral